This 730-nucleotide ribosomal RNA is filed under the name uncultured bacterium. Its description in RNAcentral is "bacterial SSU rRNA". It matches the Rfam family "Bacterial small subunit ribosomal RNA", at positions 759 to 1505 of the family's 1533-position model. The record is from RNAcentral.
GCGUGGGGAGCGAACAGGAUUAGAUACCCUGGUAGUCCACGCCGUAAACGAUGGAUACUAGCUGUUCGGAGCAAUCUGAGUGGCUAAGCGAAAGUGAUAAGUAUCCCACCUGGGGAGUACGCACGCAAGUGUGAAACUCAAAGGAAUUGACGGGGGCCCGCACAAGCGGAGGAGCAUGUGGUUUAAUUCGAUGAUACGCGAGGAACCUUACCAGGGCUUAAAUGGGAGACGACAGUUUGGGAAACCAGAUUUUCUUCGGACGUCUUUCAAGGUGCUGCAUGGUUGUCGUCAGCUCGUGCCGUGAGGUGUCAGGUUAAGUCCUAUAACGAGCGCAACCCCUAUUGUUAGUUGCCAGCGGGUCAUGCCGGGAACUCUAACAAGACUGCCGGUGCAAACCGUGAGGAAGGUGGGGAUGACGUCAAAUCAUCACGGCCCUUACGUCCUGGGCUACACACGUGCUACAAUGGACGGUACAGAGAGCAGCCACUGCGCAAGCAGGAGCGAAUCUUCAAAGCCGUUCUCAGUUCGGAUCGGAGUCUGCAACUCGACUCCGUGAAGCUGGAUUCGCUAGUAAUCGCAUAUCAGCCAUGAUGCGGUGAAUACGUUCCCGGGCCUUGUACACACCGCCCGUCAAGCCAUGGAAGCUGGGGGUACCUGAAGUCGGUGACCGCAAGGAGCUGCCUAGGGUAAAACUAGUAACUGGGGCUAAGUCGUAACAAGGUAGCCGUAA